This 466-nucleotide ribosomal RNA is filed under the name uncultured bacterium. RNAcentral's name for it is "partial 16S ribosomal RNA". It matches the Rfam family "Bacterial small subunit ribosomal RNA", at positions 28 to 506 of the family's 1533-position model. The record is from RNAcentral.
GACGAACGCUGGCGGCGUGCUUAACACAUGCAAGUCGAACGGAAAGGCCCUGCUUUUGUGGGGUGCUCGAGUGGCGAACGGGUGAGUAACACGUGAGUAACCUGCCCUUGACUUUGGGAUAACUUCAGGAAACUGGGGCUAAUACCGGAUAGGAGCUCCUGCUGCAUGGUGGGGGUUGGAAAGUUUCGGCGGUUGGGGAUGGACUCGCGGCUUAUCAGCUUGUUGGUGGGGUAGUGGCUUACCAAGGCUUUGACGGGUAGCCGGCCUGAGAGGGUGACCGGCCACAUGGGGACUGAGAUACGGCCCAGACUCCUAGGGGAGGCAGCAGUGGGGAAUAUUGCACAAUGGGGGAAGCCUGAUGCAGCAACGCCGCGGGCGGGAUGACGGCCUUCGGGUUGUAAACCGCUUUCGCCUGUGACGAAGGGUGGGUGACGGUAAUGGGUAAAGAAGCACCGGCUAACUACGU